UACGUAGGGACCGAGCGUUGUCCGGAUUCAUUGGGCGUAAAGAGCUCGUAGGCGGCUGCUCAAGUCGAAUGUGAAAACUCGAGGCUCAACCUCGAGCCUGCAUUCGAUACUGGGCGGCUAGAGUCUGGUAGGGGGAUCUGGAAUUCCUGGUGUAGCGGUGAAAUGCGCAGAUAUCAGGAGGAACACCAAUUGCGAAGGCAGCUCGCUGGGACGUAACUGACGCUGAGACGCGAAAGCGUGGGGAGCAAACAGG
Molecule: ribosomal RNA, 253 nt
Filed under: uncultured bacterium
Lineage: Bacteria
Description: partial 16S ribosomal RNA
Rfam family: Bacterial small subunit ribosomal RNA
Source: RNAcentral